RNAcentral lists this ribosomal RNA (778 nucleotides) under Bacillus subtilis. RNAcentral's name for it is "partial 16S ribosomal RNA". It matches the Rfam family "Bacterial small subunit ribosomal RNA". Lineage: Bacteria; Bacillati; Bacillota; Bacilli; Caryophanales; Bacillaceae. The record is from RNAcentral.
GGGCAAGCGUGGCGGCGUGCCUAUACAUGCAAGUCGAGCGGACAGAUGGGAGCUUGCUCCCUGAUGUUAGCGGCGGACGGGUGAGUAACACGUGGGUAACCUGCCUGUAAGACUGGGAUAACUCCGGGAAACCGGGGCUAAUACCGGAUGCUUGUUUGAACCGCAUGGUUCAGACAUAAAAGGUGGCUUCGGCUACCACUUACAGAUGGACCCGCGGCGCAUUAGCUAGUUGGUGAGGUAACGGCUCACCAAGGCAACGAUGCGUAGCCGACCUGAGAGGGUGAUCGGCCACACUGGGACUGAGACACGGCCCAGACUCCUACGGGAGGCAGCAGUAGGGAAUCUUCCGCAAUGGACGAAAGUCUGACGGAGCACCGCUUCGUGAGUGAUGGCAACGAGCGCAACCCUUGAUCUUAGUUGCCAGCAUUCAGUUGGGCACUCUAAGGUGACUGCCGGUGACAAACCGGAGGAAGGUGGGGAUGACGUCAAAUCAUCAUGCCCCUUAUGACCUGGGCUACACACGUGCUACAAUGGGCAGAACAAAGGGCAGCGAAACCGCGAGGUUAAGCCAAUCCCACAAAUCUGUUCUCAGUUCGGAUCGCAGUCUGCAACUCGACUGCGUGAAGCUGGAAUCGCUAGUAAUCGCGGAUCAGCAUGCCGCGGUGAAAACGUUCCCGGGCCUUGUACACACCGCCCGUCACACCCCGUGACGGUUAACACCCCAACUCAGUCGUGACAAGGUUAGGAUCCAGCACAGUCGAAGCAAGAGCUGCUGAUC